Molecule: ribosomal RNA, 443 nt
Filed under: uncultured bacterium
Lineage: Bacteria
Description: partial 16S ribosomal RNA
Rfam family: Bacterial small subunit ribosomal RNA
Source: RNAcentral
CCUACGGGAGGCAGCAGUGGGGAAUAUUGGGCAAUGGGCGCAAGCCUGACCCAGCAACGCCGCGUGAAGGAAGAAGGCUUUCGGGUUGUAAACUUCUUUUCUCAGGGACGAAGCAAGUGACGGUACCUGAGGAAUAAGCCACGGCUAACUACGUGCCAGCAGCCGCGGUAAUACGUAGGUGGCAAGCGUUAUCCGGAUUUACUGGGUGUAAAGGGCGUGUAGGCGGGAAAGCAAGUCAGAUGUGAAAACCAUGGGCUCAACCUGUGGCCUGCAUUUGAAACUGUUUUUCUUGAGUACUGGGGAGGCAGACGGAAUUCCUAGUGUAGCGGUGAAAUGCGUAGAUAUUAGGAGGAACACCAGUGGCGAAGGCGGUCUGCUGGACAGCAACUGACGCUGAGGCGCGAAAGCGUGGGGAGCAAACAGGAUUAGAUACCCCAGUAGUG